CGUGGAUUAGGCAUGCAAGUCGAACGGUAGAUAUCCUUCGGGAUAGUUGAGAGUGGCGAACGGGUGAGUAACACGUAGAUGAUCGUACCCCUCAAAUGGGGGGACAACCCAGGGAAACUUGGGCUAAUACCGCAUGAGUGCAGCGCAUAAAGCAGUCUUUAGGUGGGUGUUUUAUGCGUUGCAUAAAAGGUGGCCUUCGGGCUGUCGUUUGAGGAUGAGUCUGCGUCCUAUUAGUUAGUUGGUGAGGUAAUGGCUCACCAAGGCGAUGAUAGGUAGGCGGCCUUAACGGGUGGCCGCCCACACCGGGAUUGAGAUACGGCCCAGACUCCUACGGGAGGCAGCAGUCGAGAAUAGUCUACAAUGGACGAAAGUCUGAUAGUGCGACGCCGCGUGAACGAAGAAUCCCUUCGGGGUGUAAAGUUCUUUUUUAAUAUGUGAGCAAUGCUUUUUAUGUGAAUAGCAUGAGAAGAGAGAUAUUAGCAUAUGAAUAAGCAACGGCUAACUCCGUGCCAGCCGCUGC
This 520-nucleotide ribosomal RNA is filed under the name uncultured bacterium. Its description in RNAcentral is "bacterial SSU rRNA". It matches the Rfam family "Bacterial small subunit ribosomal RNA", at positions 43 to 518 of the family's 1533-position model. The record is from RNAcentral.